AUGUCUAUACGGUUCGAUUUUCAAAAUUUCAUUUUCUCAAUGGUAUCUCUCUAGAUAAACAUACGUUUAUAUAAUAUGUACUACACAUGUUAUGUCACAUUAUGUGCCACAUAGUAAACAAGUUAUAUCUCAUUAGUAGGUUGAUUGUGAUAUAGAUGUUUAGGAUUAAAAUCAUGAAAAUUCAACCGUUUGAUAUAAUUAUGAUAGUGAAGUAUAGCAGUGUAACAAAAUUCAUAAAUUUUCAGAAACGUUUAGGUAUCGAUCAACUCGGUCAACCAUAAAUUCAACAAUAUUAAUUUUACAUCACACAUCAGUAUUAAAAAAUAACCGUUGUGGCACUACAAUAGGAAAUUUAUUAGGGUUUUUUAGGGUUUAGGGUAUUUUAGGGGUUAGAGGUUACGAAACAUACAACGUAAUAUUGAAAAUAAUUGUGUGAUAUACCUUCACACAACAUUGCUUAGUUGAUUGUUGUGGGAUGAAGAACUUAAAGUAGUAUUGUCAAAUCUAAGAGAAGGGCUUCAUCGUGACACGAAAAUACAUUAUACAACCAAAACUGAAAAGUCGUUGUGUGAUUGUUGAAAAUACUAUACUCUCACACAACAGGUUUGAGUGUUCCGUUAUCCUUCACAAAAAAUUUAGGUUUUCAGAGGAUGUAAGAGCAAUUUUAAAACUAGAAAUCUGCAACCUGGCAUGAGAGAUAUAUCGUACAACAGAUGUAUAAAAAGUAUUGUGUGAUAGUUUAAAUUGUAUACAUUCACACAACAUUUAUUUGUUUCACUAUUGUGUAACAACACCCAGUUAUAUGU
RNAcentral lists this long non-coding RNA (806 nucleotides) under Fragaria vesca (wild strawberry). Its description in RNAcentral is "long non-coding RNA (FVES_LNC004491)". The record is from RNAcentral. Lineage: Eukaryota; Viridiplantae; Streptophyta; Magnoliopsida; Rosales; Rosaceae.